CCUACGGGAGGCAGCAGUGGGGAAUAUUGGGCAAUGGGCGCAAGCCUGACCCAGCAACGCCGCGUGAAGGAAGAAGGCUUUCGGGUUGUAAACUUCUUUUCUCAGGGACGAAGCAAGUGACGGUCCCUGAGGAAUAAGCCACGGCUAACUACGUGCCAGCAGCCGCGGUAAUACGUAGGCGGCAAGCGUUAUCCGGAUUUACUGGGUGUAAAGGGCGGGUAGGCGGGGACGCAAGUGCGAUGUGAAACCCCCGGGCUCAACCUGUGGCCUGCAUUUGAAACUGUGUUUCGUGAGUACUGGAGAGGCAGACGGAAUGCCUAGUGUAGCGGUGAAAUGCGUAGAUAUUAGGCGGAACACCAGUGGCGAAGGCGGUCUGCUGGACAGCAACUGACGCUGAGGCGCGAAAGCGUGGGGAGCAAACAGGAUUAGAUACCCCAGUAGUC
RNAcentral lists this ribosomal RNA (443 nucleotides) under uncultured bacterium. RNAcentral's name for it is "partial 16S ribosomal RNA". It matches the Rfam family "Bacterial small subunit ribosomal RNA", at positions 338 to 795 of the family's 1533-position model. The record is from RNAcentral.